UACAGAGGUGGCGAGCGUUAUUCGGAAUUACUGGGCGUAAAGGGCGCGUAGGCGGCCAAGCAAGUCAGGGGUGAAAUCCCUCGGCUCAACCGAGGAACUGCGUCGGAAACUGGAUGGCUCGAGUCCGGGAGAGGGUAGCGGAAUUCCAGGUGUAGCGGUGAAAUGCGUAGAUAUCGGGAGGAACACCGGUGGCGAAGGCGGCUACCUGGACCGGUUCUGACGCUGAGGCGCGAAAGCCUGGGGAGCAAAC
RNAcentral lists this ribosomal RNA (250 nucleotides) under uncultured Holophagae bacterium. RNAcentral describes it as "partial 16S ribosomal RNA". It matches the Rfam family "Bacterial small subunit ribosomal RNA", at positions 524 to 773 of the family's 1533-position model. The record is from RNAcentral. Lineage: Bacteria; Pseudomonadati; Acidobacteriota; Holophagae.